Molecule: ribosomal RNA, 337 nt
Filed under: uncultured soil bacterium
Lineage: Bacteria
Description: bacterial SSU rRNA
Rfam family: Bacterial small subunit ribosomal RNA
Source: RNAcentral
AGAUUGAACGCUGGCGGCAGGCCUAACACAUGCAAGUCGAGCGGUAGAGAGGUGCUUGCAUCUCUUGAGAGCGGCGGACGGGUGAGUAAUGCCUAGGAAUCUGCCUAGUGGUGGGGGAUAACGUUCGGAAACGGACGCUAAUACCGCAUACGUCCUACGGGAGAAAGCGGGGGACCUUCGGGCCUCGCGCCAUUAGAUGAGCCUAGGUCGGAUUAGCUAGUUGGUGAGGUAAUGGCUCACCAAGGCGACGAUCCGUAACUGGUCUGAGAGGAUGAUCAGUCACACUGGAACUGAGACACGGUCCAGACCUCCUACGGGAGCAGCAGUGGGGAAUAUU